This 4105-nucleotide long non-coding RNA is filed under the name Salvia miltiorrhiza (redroot sage). RNAcentral's name for it is "long non-coding RNA (SMIL_LNC004910)". Lineage: Eukaryota; Viridiplantae; Streptophyta; Magnoliopsida; Lamiales; Lamiaceae. The record is from RNAcentral.
AGGAUUUGAGAUAAUGGCAAUAGCUGCAGUUGGGAAUAAUCUGAUAACAUAUGUUAUAAACGAGAUGCACUUUUCGUUGUCGAAAUCUGCAAACACAGUCACAAACUUCAUUGGCACAGUCUUCAUCCUCUCACUCCUUGGUGGCUACCUUUCUGACUCUUAUCUCGGUUGCUUUUGGACCAUUCUCAUCUUUGGCUUCGUUGAACUUUCGGUAUAUAUUUCCCCUCUCUCUCUCUCUUAUAUAUAUAUAUGCACACAUAUAUUUCCUAUUACCUUUUAGUUCCUCCUCUCUCUCUCUCACACACACACACACACCAAAAAAGAAAAGGUAACGUUCGCCCAAUUGAGGUGGCCGAGUGUGGGAGAUUGAAGGUUAAAUAUAUAAAUCCAAAAACCUUUACAUUUGUAACGUAUAAUAUUAUGUUGAAUUUCUCGUACAGUUCAAAUCUUGUCUACUCUGUUUUGUAUUAUUUUAUAAAAUUAAAAUUUUAAAGUAAAAACCCAAAAUGUUCAUACAAAAAUUAAUCAAUACUACAAAUUACGGUACUUAUCCCCCAAUCCCUCUCCUCUCACUCAGAACAUAUUUAUAUAUAUUUAUCAACUCAUUCGUACAAAAUACGAUGACAUGAUAUAAUUUUACUAUCGACAUUUAUUAACACUAAUAAAAUAAAUUAAAAAAAAAACGCAGUGGUAACAUCAAAUCCAAACUGCUCAUGGAACAUGACAAUCAUCACCUAUAUUUCUCAUGCACGUCACUUCCCAAUCCCCACGAAGUUAAUUAAUUUUCUCGUAUUAAACCUUUAAAGACAAUUAGGGUGCCUUUACUUUGAUAAAAAAUGAGAGAAAAAAAUAUAUUUUUAUCUAUUUUCCAUAAUUUUCAUAUGUUUAAUAUGAUGAAAAUUUUCUUUGAACAGAGUCAAAUAUUUUCUCGUACAGCUCAUUUUCAACCAUUUUCUCUCCAAAUGUUGGAUAAUACUAUCUCCUAUCGGUGUGAAAAUAUUUUUCAAUAUUUUUUUUAUCUUUUUUAGUAAAUAUAUGAUAAAAAAAGGGAAAAAUAUAAUAUUUUAUUGUAUUUUCUUAUCUAUAUAUGUUUUUCCAAUGAAAAUUUUACAACAAAAGUGAAAGCAGCCUUACGUGACAUGAGACUUUGGGCUUUAAUUAAACACUAAUCACAUAUAUUAUCGUGUAGUGGAUGACAUCAUAAAUAUACUGUUUUUAUAAUUUGGAUGAAACACAGGGUUUGAUCUUGCUAUCGGUACAAGCCCAUGUGGGGCAGCUGAAGCCGCCGCCAUGCGACAUGGUCAACGACAGCGCGCAGUGUGUUGAAGCGAAAGGGUUCGAAGCCUUAAUAUUUUUCGUGGCCCUUUAUUUGGUGGCGUUAGGGAGUGGGUGCGUUAAGCCUAACAUGAUAGCACAUGGGGCAGACCAGUUCAACCAAGACGAUGAAAAGCAAUCCAACAAACUCUCCUCUUACUUCAAUGCCGCCUACUUCGCCUUCUCCAUGGGCGAGCUCAUCGCCUUGACCGUCCUAGUUUAUGUCCAAACGCACUCCGGCAUGGACAUCGGCUUCGGGGUGUCGGCCGCCGCCAUGGCCAUGGGCCUCAUCGCCAUCAUCUCCGGCACAGUUAUGUACCGCAACAAGCCGCCUCAGGGGAGCGUCUUGACCCCUAUCGCACAGGUCACCCAUCUAUCCCUUACAUAAUUUAUUUAAUUUCUGUGUAACAACUCACAUGGGAAGUUAUAAAUUUUUUUUUAAAAAUAAUCAAGAAUUCAUGUGAUUAGUGACGCACGAAAGAAACAUGUAUAGUGGCACCAUUCUUCCCCCCAUAAAUAAAGAUGACCUUUACAAAAUGUCCCUAUUUUGUCAACUUUUCUAGCUGUAUCGGGUAGGAUUAUUACACUAUUAUUAUUAUUAUUAUUUGAUGCAUGUAUGUUAUGCUAUGUACUUUAUGUAAUGUUUAGCUCAUGUUAGCAAUAUCUUUUUUAUUCAAUGUAUUUUUUAGUUUUAAUAUCCCCUACUUUCUCCGUCUACGAAAUGAAUACUCAUAUUUUCUUUUUUGUCCGUCCAUAAAAUGAGUAUUCAUUUCCCUUUUGGAUAAUUAAGUGUAUCCACACAACCCUUUAAUUAAUACCCUUAUAAAGUGGGACUCUUACACACGACACUCAAUACAUUUUCUUAAAACUCGUGCCGUCUUCAAAUGGGUACUCAUUUUGUAGAGAGUAAUUGUUAUUGAGAUCAUUUAUUUUAAAAAUUACAAAAAAAUCAAAUUCUGAUUUGUUCAUUUNAGUUUGUGUUUAAUUCUGUGUCUCAUUAUUUAUCAAAAAAAAAAAAAAUGUGUGUCUCAUUUUUUAUUUUAGUUAUUUUGUUAUAUUUUUUCGGUCUAUGAAAGAAUUUUUCCGAAGGAAAUGAUAAUAAUUUUAAGAAAAAUUAUUGUUGAGUGUAUUAGAAGUGGAAAAAAAAUUAUUGAAUGUAUUGAAACUGAUGAAAAUGUGUUUAUAAUUAUAGUUCAAAAACAUAUAGAAAAUUUUUUUGUAGACGUCCCAUAAAAGAAAACUAAGAAGUUUUUUCAUAGAUAGAGGUAGUAUAUUUUUUCUUCAAUUUUAACUUUGUAUGUUUUAAUUCCAUAUUGUGAUUAGAAUUUAUUCCAUCUAAUUAGGGUAUAUGGUACUUUUUAUCAUUUAAUUUCAUUUUUAUUAGUUAAUAAUAACUUGAUAAAUUCAAAAUCAUGCAUGAUAUAUAUUUUUAUAAAAUUUUAAUUUUUUAAAUAAAAAUUAAGUAUAAUUUAUAGUGUUAUAAUAAAUUUUACUCCCUCCGUCCACCAAAAAUGGGGCACAAUUACUAUAUUUGGUGUCCACAAAAAAUAGGGCACUUUUCCUUUUAAGACAUGAGCCCACCACUUUUCCUUAUAUUUUAUCCUUAUCAAUACCCAUUAUUUACAAAAAAAACCAACUUUAAUUCAAUCUCAACCACUUAUUUCAAAUAAUGGUGAGACAAUUUCUCCACUAAGCACCAAUUUUAUGAAAACAUGUGCCCAAGAAAUGUGCCCCACUUUUGGCGAACGGAGGGAGUACUUUAUAAAAAAUAUUAUUGAAAUAAUAGAUAUAAUAAUAAGACACAAUAACACAUACUCUUUCCGUCCUCUAAAAUGUAUCCAAUUCAUAAAAUGUAUAAUUCAGUCUAUUUUUAGCAAGUUUUUCACUCACAGUAAUAUAAGAUCCUUAUUUCACUCACAACACAUUCAACUAUUUUAUUAAAAUUCAUGUCAUUUACAAAUAAAUACUUUUUAUAAAGAGAGAGAGUAUAAAAUUAUGGAACAUUAAAUUUCAUCCCCACAAUAUACAACCCACAAUAUACAACAUGCCUUUUGAGCCUAAGCUGGUACUAUAUAUAUUAGACUCCAACCAUCCUUGAAUUCAGUAAAUAUAUUUCAGCCAAACAUCUCCCCCUCUCUCUCUCUCUCACAAACAUAUUUGGUGUGAACUACUUAAGGAGUGUGCUUCUGCACUACUGCUAUACUAUAUAUAUAUAUGUACACACACAAACACACACCCAUAUAUCGCUGUCUGAACAAAAAAUAGAAAGAAAAAAUGGAGAGCUCAAGAAGGCAGGAUUUGAAGGCAUCAGUUAAGGUUCCUGAUGAGAACACUAUUGAUUGGAGAGGAAAGCCUUCCAACCCCCAAAAGCAUGGAGGAAUGAGAGCUGCUGCCUUUGUUCUAGGUUCUUUCUCUUUCUCUCUCUUGAUGUCACUAUAUAUGCAAGAGAAAAUAGAUAUUUUUUUAAAAAAUAUAUUGUGUUGAUAUUAGUUGGAAAUAAAUAUAUAAUGUGCAGGGCUUCAAGGAUUUGAGAUAAUGGCAAUAGCUGCAGUUGGGAAUAAUCUGAUAACAUAUGUUAUAAACGAGAUGCACUUUUCGUUGUCGAAAUCUGCAAACACAGUCACAAACUUCAUUGGCACAGUCUUCAUCCUCUCACUCCUUGGUGGCUACCUUUCUGACUCUUAUCUCGGUUGCUUUUGGACCAUUCUCAUCUUUGGCUUCGUUGAACUUUCGGUAUAUAUUUCCCCCUCUCUCUCUCUCUUUAUAUAUAUAUAUGCACACAUAUAUUUCC